RNAcentral lists this long non-coding RNA (3047 nucleotides) under Hordeum vulgare. RNAcentral's name for it is "long non-coding RNA (HVUL_LNC000553)". The record is from RNAcentral. Lineage: Eukaryota; Viridiplantae; Streptophyta; Magnoliopsida; Poales; Poaceae.
AACGCGAUCGAUUCAACUUGAAAUCUAACAUCUCACACAUCGUGCUUUCAAAAAAAAACAUCGGCAAGUGCUAACCACCUGCAAUCCCCUCCUGGAAUCCUCUCCCUGAUCCUCUUAUUUCCAAUCGAGAGAUGCACCGGCCCGAGCUCCUCCCCGGCCUCGCAUGCGUCGCCACCCCCACCUCGAACUGCCCCCUUCUCAUCGUCUCGAGCACCAGGGUCACCCCACCGGGCACCGGCUGACCAGCCAGCAACCCUCCAUGUUCCUCCUCGAUGCCACCCUCGGGCGACAUCGUAGUGCGUGAUGCUGGCAUUAGAGAUCGAUUCCCCCUCCCUCGUCUGCGGUUCAUGCUUCAGCAGGUGAAAUCACAUGUGCGGAUGCUCCAACGUCUGAAUCGGCUGGUGGAGUGAGAAUGCCACCCGGCCGGAGAACUUGCAGUAGGUCACGACCCCCACACACCCCAAGUGCACCCCCACACCCACCCCAUCUUGAAAUCGAAGGUACUGUACUGCAUCUACCACCCAAGAUUUUAUGAUUUCAUUAGUAAUUUAUGCAGAAGAGUGAUUUUAUUUGUAUUUCAUCCACCAUACGAGUCUUGUUCUGGUGAGGGGUUAGGUCCUUUAUCAUAAUCCUUGUUAAGUAGAGAUUUUUUUUAAUAAUUUGAUAACUCAUACAGUACAUAUGUAGGAGGUCAUGCAUGGUUCUUCUUAGUUUCAAUAUAGAGUGCUUCUAGUGAUGGUGAGAUAUGUUGAGAAAACACUCUCUCAUUGCUUCCUGUAUAAAUAGCUUCCAAAAAUAAGCAUCCAGAGUUGUGGCAAAUUGUUUUUCGUACAUUUUCGAAAUUUCAUGCAUCCACCAAACACUAAUAAUGCACCCUUUGCAACAUUAGCCAUCUGCAUAACUUUGUUCUUCUACAAUGUUUUCAUUUUGUUGCGGUCGUUUAGAAAAAUGUUUCCAUGCCCACAACGUUUACUUCUGUCCUUCUACAAUAUUUUUGUACUUCCACAGUGUACUCAUUUUUGCUAUGGUCAUUUAGAAACAAUAUGUUUCCUUUUUUAUUUUCAAAUUCUUAUGCUUCGUAUAUGAUGAUGUGUGUUGAGAUAGUACUGUUACCUAUGCUUCCCACUAACAUAUUUUCCACACUGUAAUAUAUAUGUUUCUUUGAUCAAUAAGUUUUCUUACAUAGUCCCUUUUUAGUGUAUUUGGCACGUAGGCCAACCAUCCAUGCACCAUCAUGUUGAUAGCAUUUUUAGAUAAUUUAGAACAUUAAUUUACGUUUCCAAUUAAGAUGAGUUAUGUUGACAUAGCACUCUUCUCACACUUCCUACUUUGGGUGCUUCCAAAUUAUAGUACAUAUACUUCUUCCGUCUAAAUGAUUUAUUCCAUAGUUCAACCGAAGUUUGUGAAUUUAGAAUGUAGGUCACACAAACAUUCAUCCCCAAGAUGGUGUAAAUCUUAGUUCUUUUUUAUUUUCAAUAUUUAUACUUCCAGUUUAGAUGAUCCAUAUUGACAUACCACAUGUCAUGCUCACUACCUACUAGGCUUCAAAAUUGUACUUCAUAUGCUUCCUCAGUUUCACAUAGAUUAUUUCCAUUCUGCCUACUUCUAUUUUAAUAUUUUGAUCUUGCCAUUACUUUCACCACUGAAGUAUGUCAUGCUCCCAUAUGUUACUACAUAUGUUUCUUUGGUCUAUAUAUAGUUUGUCAUAUUUCUACUGUUCCCAUCAGUCAACGCUAAGUAACAUAAGUACAACUGUGUGACUACAUUUGUGCCCUUGUUAUAUUUUCUAAUGCAUUAUAGUUUGAACAUUGCUCUCAUGCUUCCUAGUUCAUCACAUAUAUGUUGCGCAUGCUUCACAUCAUUCUAUGUAUGCUUCAUAUUGACUAGCCUUCCAAAUUAUUCUUCUUAUGGUCCUUUGUUUUAGUUAAAAUGCUUCCAUACUUCCCGCUCCUUCCAUUUUAAAAGGUUGUCUCAAUGUUACCACUAAUGUAAUAUGAUUGAAUAUGGCAUGCCACCUAUUUUUCGAGAAAACACAAAGGACCUUUGUGUUUCAUAGAAAAGAUAGAAUGGUCCUCGUAGGAGGUGAGUUUUACAGGUUCAUUGGUCCGAUCAAUGGAUGUCCUAGGAUGUGGUAAGAACAACCCUAAGUCCGUGGGCCCCAGCCUUUGCCCAACAUGGAUGACAUGCCACAUAUUAUGUUUUGUAUGUUUCUUUGGUAUAAUUAGUUUGCUUCCAUAGUCCCCUUUUUUGGUGUUUCUAUUGUUCUAUUUUUCAGCACCAUUGUGAUCAAAACACAACCCCGUGUAUGUUGUGACAAAUCAACUCGUUGCUUCCUGUAAUGUCAUGGUUCCUACUUUUGUGUCUCAUAUGUUUCCUAUAUUAUUGAAUUUUCUCUUCGUCUCAAUUUUAUAUGCUUCCAUUGCCUGUCAUGUAUGUUUUGAUCAAUCAUAUCGCUGCUCCAUGUAAGUUAUGGUGUCUACUUUUUGUAUCACAUAUGUUUCUAUAGCCUGUUUUAUAAUCCUUUUUCAAUUUUCCAUGCUUCAACUACCUAUCAUGUAUGCUCUAAUAGAUCAAAUUAUUGCUUCAUACAAGCCAUGCUUAUUUCAUUUUUGUGUUUUGUGCCACAUGUUGUCAACCAUGCACCAUUGGUUUCUCAAAAGCCUUGCACCGACCUUGGCGGCAGUGUCAAUCCGAAGGGAGUGGAGGAAAGCCAUGCAGCGACCUCCCCACAGAAUGGCGACGGCGUCAACCUGAAGGCAACGGAGGAGGUGGUGUAGACAUGGGUGGUGAUAAUGAGUGAAGCCCUCCCCAGCAAUGUGCUUGCCGACGUAGUGUAUGAGUUUGAGCUUCUGCAACUAGGAUAUUGCCAUGUUGCAUUACUAGCUGGCUGCAGUGUCCCUUUUCUUGCUUCCAUAUUGUACGGCGAGCUUUCGCCUAUGCACUCUGUAUUGCACCGUUGCAACCUAAGACAAUACCCUUCUUUCCCAGCAAACUUACAUGUGGACCUUGUAACAGUUCUUCUUAUGUAAUUUUUCAAUUGUCUCAAG